RNAcentral lists this ribosomal RNA (301 nucleotides) under uncultured bacterium. Its description in RNAcentral is "partial 16S ribosomal RNA". It matches the Rfam family "Bacterial small subunit ribosomal RNA", at positions 509 to 807 of the family's 1533-position model. The record is from RNAcentral.
CAGCCGCCGCGGUAAUACGUAGGUGGCAAGCGUUGUCCGGAAUUAUUGAGCGUAAAGGGCUCGCAGGCGGUUUCUUAAGUCUGAUGUGAAAGCCCCCGGCUCAACCGGGGAGGGUCAUUGGAAACUGGGAAACUUGAGUGCAGAAGAGGAGAGUGGAAUUCCACGUGUAGCGGUGAAAUGCGUAGAGAUGUGGAGGAACACCAGUGGCGAAGGCGACUCUCUGGUCUGUAACUGACGCUGAGGAGCGAAAGCGUGGGGAGCGAACAGGAUUAGAUACCCCAGUAGUCCCUGUCUCUUAUAC